GACGGAGGAUGCAAGUGUUAUCCGGAAUCACUGGGCGUAAAGCGUCUGUAGGUGGUCAACUAAGUCAACUGUUAAAUCUUGAGGCUCAACCUCAAAAUCGCAGUCGAAACUAUUAGACUAGAGUAUAGUAGGGGUAAAGGGAAUUUCCAGUGGAGCGGUGAAAUGCGUAGAUAUCAGGAGGAACACCUGUGGCGAAAGCGGCUCACUGGACCACAACUGACGCUGAGGCGCGAAAGCUAGGGGAGCAAACAGG
RNAcentral lists this ribosomal RNA (253 nucleotides) under uncultured bacterium. Its description in RNAcentral is "partial 16S ribosomal RNA". It matches the Rfam family "Bacterial small subunit ribosomal RNA", at positions 524 to 776 of the family's 1533-position model. The record is from RNAcentral.